ACUUCCUUAUAAACGCUUGUUGUUUUCUUUUCUUUCAGACGCCACUACAGUUUGACUGUGUAAGUCACUUUUGCCUCUCACUCGAAGAUGGGUUCAAGCAUGUCUGCAGAGCUAAGAGCAGGACUAGGACUAGAAAUGAAAGCUUAUGAUGUAAUCAAAGACUUUGGUGGUCCAUGCAACAUUGAUCUAGAAGAAGGGCAUGUCUUUCGAAGAGACACUGACUACCCUGGAAUCUAUCACACUGGAGUAUACUGUGGAAACAAUGAAAUUAUUCAUUUUACAGGAAGUGGUACAGGAGUCAAGAGCAUGAGUACAGCAAAAGUAUUUGUGUCAAAGCAAAGUGUGAAAAUGUUCAUCAAGGACCAUAAAUACCAAAUACUGAAGAAAAAAGGAGGCAUAAACAUCCAUUCAUUUCGACGUAAGGUUAUCGAAAUGAUGGAUUACGAGAACACUUAUAAUCUGCUGGCAAACAACUGCUUUAAUUUUGUAUUCAUGCUUUUGGAUGAAAGGAACCCUGAAGAGGAGAAGAUUCAGGUUGGACAUCAGAGAAAUAUACAGGGAUGGCAGAACAAGAAGCUUUUGCAAAAAGCAAUCAACUGAUCAAUCAAUCAAUACAUCAACAUUGAUUUUGAAAUAUAAUGACAAUGACUGAGAACAGUGCUGAAGAUCUGGAUCGAAUUUUCUUGCAAAGUGCCAACAGAGUAUUCAUUGCUAAUACCAAUGACUGAAUUAUGUUCUGCUGUGCAUUUGUUAUUUUGAUAAUAAAGGUAUUCAGGUUAAGGGAGGGGUUGGAUUGGCUUAGUGAAAGGCACGUAAGGAAAUUCAAUUCGAAAACUGUGACGUGCUGUUAAAUUAAUAAUGAAUCUGUUUUUACCUUAUAUUUAAAUCAAUCUAUAGCAUUGCGUUGUUUUUGUCAACAUUUCAAAUGUUAUUACUUUUCAGCAAACCUGAAAAAAAAUGGACCACAGCACUAUCGUCUGUGUAAAUAAAUGGAUUUUUGUGUGUGAAGCUUGUAUUCUGUACUAUGGUAUAUAAACUGUUGUUUAUAUUGAAUGUAUUUCCAAUGGUGAUUUAGGCCUACCUAAAUAAAGACCCCUCGGCACGUAGAAGUUGAAUGUUUCCUACCAAAAAAACUUUUGAGAUAUUAUUUGUGGCUGUUAUUACGAAAAAAGUGGAGUCAAACAAGGGUGGCACUUUAAUGAGACAAAAAACAUCAGACAAUGAAAUGGGUUCAAGUGAAGGUGGCAGACUAGGAAGUGGUAUUUCUGAUGGUAGAGCAAGCCACAGUGAUUUCCCUGACAUAGCUGCAGGUGGAAAUGAGGGCGGCACCAGUGUUCAAAAUGAAAGUACAUCUCCAGAUGAGGUGUUUUGGCAAAUUAACUCUUCAGAAACUGUCCCCAGCUAUGGAAAAGGGUCUGGUUCCUCAAAGAAGGAAAUAUUUAGGACCAAACAAAGAAAAUUAAAAAAAAAAACGGAAAUUGGUGGAAAUGCAGCUUGUACAAACUUACAUAGAAAAAACAACAUUGAAAACUUACACGAUUAAUAACAAACUACACAGCAUUUACAGGUACCUUACAGCUCAUAAGUGCUACGUGUUUUGUGAUAAGAGCCGUGAGAAGAAUGUCAUUCUAACAACUGAGACAGCAUCCGUGUUGAAAAAAUCAAGGGGGUUUAUAAAAUCUUGUGCCUUCAGACUGCAGUACAACAUGGGAGUGCUUGGAAACAUUGCUAGAACUGAUGUGCUGCUUGAUGACACUAAGGAGUUUGUGAUUAAGCACCCAUAUCGCAAGUUAAUUUUCCUAAUGUUUAUCGAUUACUUUGAGAAGUUUGUUAAGGAUGUACUCGUCCCUGUUCUUGCACUAUUUUUAGAAGUUCAGAAGAAAAACUUGUUGAAAAUGGAAGCUGAGUAGGCUGUAGAAACAACAGGCCCACUGUCUCUACUGUUACCAUGGUUUUAAAGAUAAAGUGCUGUUCAAUUCAGCAAAUGCGUUUUCACAUACUGUUAACAUCCUGACACUAUGGAAACAUGCAACCCAAUCAAUAACAACACAGUGAAUUGAAAUCAUUAUAAAUCAUGUGUAAGAAAUUAACAAGUCACAGCAACUGAUACAAACGUGUUGAUUUGAUUGUGUGUUUGAGACAAACUUUGCAUAAAAACUGUAGUACUGAGUUAACUGUUCAAAACCAACUGAUUUUGUGUCAUGUGUACGUAGUUUUACAAAGUUAAGACACAGAAAAUGUUUUCUGUGGUGAAUGAAGGAAUGCUUACUUUUCUGAAGCUUAAUUGUCUCUCCAUUUGCUUUAUGGUGUUUGGGAUGUAACUAGUGAUUGUAUAGUUGCUUGUAAGUGUGAGCAACAAUAUUUACUUGAUUAAACUUGCAAAUAUAAUCAAUGAGACGGACUAAUAUUAUUAGAAAUAAUGCUGUGUGGUCACUGUAUUUG
Molecule: long non-coding RNA, 2442 nt
Organism: Polyodon spathula (Mississippi paddlefish)
Lineage: Eukaryota; Metazoa; Chordata; Actinopteri; Acipenseriformes; Polyodontidae
Exons: 6
Source: RefSeq, a predicted model, not a curated record